AAAUUGAAGAGUUUGAUCAUGGCUCAGAUUGAACGCUGGCGGCAGGCCUAACACAUGCAAGUCGAACGGUAACAGGAAGCAGCUUGCUGCUUCGCUGACGAGUGGCGGACGGGUGAGUAAUGUCUGGGAAACUGCCUGAUGGAGGGGGAUAACUACUGGAAACGGUGGCUAAUACCGCAUAACGUCGCAGGACCAAAGAGGGGGACCUUCGGGCCUCUUGCCAUCAGAUGUGCCCAGAUGGGAUUAGCUUGUUGGUGAGGUAACGGCUCACCAAGGCGACGAUCCCUAGCUGGUCUGAGAGGAUGACCAGCCACACUGGAACUGAGACACGGUCCAGACUCCUACGGGAGGCAGCAGUGGGGAAUAUUGCACAAUGGGCGCAAGCCUGAUGCAGCCAU
This 398-nucleotide ribosomal RNA is filed under the name Salmonella enterica subsp. arizonae serovar 48:z4,z24:-. RNAcentral's name for it is "bacterial SSU rRNA". It matches the Rfam family "Bacterial small subunit ribosomal RNA", at positions 1 to 395 of the family's 1533-position model. The record is from RNAcentral. Lineage: Bacteria; Pseudomonadati; Pseudomonadota; Gammaproteobacteria; Enterobacterales; Enterobacteriaceae.